RNAcentral lists this long non-coding RNA (6578 nucleotides) under Homo sapiens (human). RNAcentral's name for it is "HSALNT0081284". The record is from RNAcentral. Lineage: Eukaryota; Metazoa; Chordata; Mammalia; Primates; Hominidae.
CAGGACUAUAAAUUCUUCUUUUUGAAGAGGCUCUUCAAUUUGUUGUCUGUCUUUCAUGUCUGUAGGCCUGGAGGAGGAGGACACAACCACUAGUUUAUGUGUCUCACAGAGGUUCCUGCUGUUUUGUGUCAAGACAGAUGUUGCAUUAGCUUCCCUCUUGCUUCUGUGACAUCUCUUCAAUUGGGUUCCAAGGUUGGAGGACAUGGCUCAUAUUAGUUCACAAAUUUGUUCAUAACUGGAAGCUUCCCCAAUUCUAUAAAACAUACAAUUAUGUUUUUGAUACAUAAAAAUGAUUGGCAAUUGCUAAGCUGAGUAAAAUAUUGAGUUUCUCUUGGCUCCAGAUGCUGCAAGAAAGUAUUAUUAAAACCAGCCUGGUCUCAGAAAAGAAGCCUAAAAAUUAAUCUCACAUGCCUAGAAAAAUCUGUUGGUAUAACUGUUUUGACUAUUCUGACCAAAGUAUUUCCAGUAAAUUGUACAACAACACUACCACACACGUGGGAUAGCUGUAUACGAGAAUAGAGAUACUUUAUUUCAGGGUCAGAGAGGACAGUUAAUUUUGUGAAGCACCAGAUGCCUGGACAAAAUCCCCCGUCAGGGGAAAUGAAAAGGAAUAGUCCAGUUCUCUAGAAUCAAAGAAUGAGGCAAUUAGAACGAAGGUAUCAUAUUGGGAUAAUAAGCAGGUCAGGAACCAACAAUAGAGCUCCGCAGUAAGGAGGGAAGAAAAAGAGGAAGGAAGGGAGGAGGGAAGAAAAGAAAAAGGAGAAAGGAAUGUAGGAAGAAAGGAAGAAGCCUGUCAUAGGAGACAUUUCUAAUAGCAUAAAAUGCAAUAACCUUUAGCUAAGCAUCAAAUUAGACUAUUGAACUUGUCCCUGGACAGGUGAUAUUCUGUCUAUUUCUGAAUUCGAUAGUAAUGAAAAGGACAGCCAGUUGUUAUUGAGCACUUCAGUGUGCCAAAUACUGUGCUAAGGAUGUUACUGACAUCACCCUGUUCAGUCCUCAUGAAAUGUAUGAGGUCAGAAUUAUUUUCUACUCUUAUUUUACAGAUGAGAAAACUGAGCAAGAUUUUGUGACUUUCCCAAGGUCCUACACCAGGCAGAGUAGGCAAAAUUUAAACCUAGAAAAUUUGACUCUAAGAUUACAUUGUCUUGUAAUGCAAAGGUUUCUGGAGAUUCUGUGAAGAGUUCAGAAGUGGUUAAAAUAACAACUUUACGUGAGAAGAAUAAGACAAAUGAAGAAAUUCUGAAGGAUUCUGUAUUCAUUUUUCUUUUAUAACAGUAUUAUAAGGCAUUUUAAUAAUGGUCUGUAACCUAGAUAUCCUCUUAGUUAAAGAAAAGAAGAUCCUUUGGAGCUACUGCCACGGAAGACUUUUCAACUGGAAAGGAUUUGAAUAAAAAGUUGGAACAUUUAAGUUAAAUAAUGCAAUAAUACAACAACUGAGGAAAUUUAUUGGAAUGUCUUAUCAAUAAAUGUUAUAGAGUCUCUUUUUCUCCUUUAAAAUAAAAUAGAUAAGAUUCUCCCAAGGAUGAUUUAAUUGUGGUUCUGCCUAGAAGAGGUGAGAUGAUUUGGUAUGCCGAUAUACAGGCAAGGGGACCGGCGGGAGGGUCAGAGGAUGAAGGGCUUUCGCUGGAAGGAAUGGGCUUGUUCCAAUUCCUGAACCUGCGGAUGUGGACCUUGUUUGGAAAAAAGCCUCUUUGAAGAUGUAAUUAAGUUAAGGAUCUUAAGGUGACAUCAUCAGGAUUAUCCCGUGCCUUAAACCCAAUGACAAUUGUCUUAAACGACAGAAGAGGAAAAGAUACAGACACAGCGAAGGCUAUGUGAAGAUGGAGAGAGAGGCUGGAUUUAUGCAGCCACCAGCCACAGAACAACAGCGACAGCCACUAGAAGUUGAAAAGGCUCCACCUUCUCACGGAGCAUUUCCUUGCCGACGCCUUGGUUUCAGGUUUCCGGCUUCUGGAACUGUGAGAAAAUGCAUCGCUUUGGUUUUAAGCCACAAAGUUUGUAAUAAGUUUUUAUGACAGCCCUAGAAAACUGAUACAGGUAAAGAUCCAGAUAGUAUUUCCAGGACCAUCGGUAUCUCACAGGGAACUAUGGGAAUCUUUAUAAAAUGAAAUGUUGACAUAAUCAUUAACAAUCCUAAUGAGAAGGACAGGGCUGAAUUAUCUAAUGAAAUACAUGUGCCCGUGACGUGCAGAAAUUGGACAUGCAAAAAUGAAAUGAAGGGUACAUAACCAACGAUGCUGGCAAAACAGAAACACUGUGCGGUGAGACUCCUCCCAGAGAGCAGGCCUUGGCGUUUUAUUAACCCUGACACAUUCAAUGUUUUAAUUUUGACCUCAGACAAAGCCAUUAAAGCAUACUUUUGAAAUUUAAGAAUGACAAAGCUCAAGAACAAACUAAUAUGUUGAAGGAUCACCAUUAAUAGACCAAAUUCCAAAUUAUGAAAUGUAGGUAAUAAUAACAUUCAUUAUUAGUUACUGAGUGCUUAUUAUUUGUUAGGUGCUGAGAUAAUUCUUUAGAAGUCAUUAAACCAUUUCAUUCUCAAAGCUACACCCUGAGAUUGACCGACAUUUGUCAGUGGGGAAUUGUGGCCACUAAAUAACUUAAUGUUGGAAUUUUUUUUUUUUUUUUUGAGUCAGAAUCUCACUUUGCCACCCAGGCGGGAGUGCAGUGGCACAAUCUCAACUCACUACGCCGUUCGCCUCAUGGGUCAAGUAAUUCUCGUGCCUCAGCCUCCUGAGUAGAUGGGAUUACAGCGUGAGCCACUGUGCCCGGCUAAUUUUUGUAUUUUUCAUGGAGACGGGAUUUCGCCAUGUUGGUCAGGCUGGUCUCGAACUCCUGGCCUCCAGUGAUAUGCCCGCCUCAGCCUCCAAAAGUGCUGACAUUACAAGUUUGAACUACCAUGGUUGGCCUAGCUUAAUGUUAGAAUCUUAAUUGAGAACCAAUACCUAAAAUUAGGUAGAUAACAGUCUGGUGUUACUUUGCACAAAACAGAUCUCAUCACAUCUGAAGAACGGUGCUGAUUGGGCUUCCUGGCCAUAGAGGAUCAUACUGGGUAGAUUUCAAAGGAAAAUGAAAACAUCUGGAAGCUAGGUCAUCAUAGGCUUCAUUUGUUAUAUUGUAUGGUGAAAAACAGAAUAUACUUAUUUUUGCGUAUCCAAAGGAUAGAACUAGGAAGAGUGGUAGAAGUUACAGAGAGAAAAAUGACAACUCUAGGACAUUUUUUUGAUAAUUAGCACAGUCUAGCCAGGAAACAAUCUGCCUCUGCAAUGAGAGAUCUCUCUGCGCUUCCAGAGCACCACAGCAGCAGCAGCCAAAUGUUAUAGGAAAGUUGCAGUAAAGAUUCAUUCGAUUGGACAAUGUUGAGCUGAAUAAUGUCUCUAAUUCCCUUUGACUCAUAGACUCUGUUUCUGUGAGUUUCUGGCAUUAGUGGCAAGUGGGGAAAGGUGACAGUGAUGUAAAGAGCCUGGAGAUGUAAGGAAAUUCAAAAGAGCAAACUUCAUUUUACAAUUUCACAAGGUCCCUUAAUAAUCCAUCAGCAAGUCAGAUGAAUUAGCAAGAUAGUUUUCACAGCUGUCUAAUUGAAUGUGUAGACACAGUCUUAGCAAGGCACAAGCUAAGCCCUGACUAAGUGGAACCAGUUAAGACUAGGCUGUGGACACUGCCACAUACUAGUUUUGUGACUAUGGGAAAGUUACUUAUCUUCUGUAUCUUACCUCAGUCUUAUCUGUAAGAUGAGAAUGUUAAUAGUACCUUAUACAGUUUCUUAUUGUAAAGAUUAAUGAGUUACUCAGGUAGAGUUUUUAAAACUGUGCUUUGUAACCACAAUAAAUAUUGCCACCCAAGUACACAUUGAAUAAGAGCACAAACAGGUAGUACAUGACAUGAAAAUCACAUUUUGCACUUAGAAGAACAUGUCAUGCUCUAGUGCAUGGGCGUGAGGUUUUCAGGCACUUACUGAAACUAGGAAAGAAGAAAGAUGGCAGAGAUGAACGUUUACUUUUCUCUUGGAUUUGAAUGCAAGUGGUAAGCCUGCUUAGAGAGUCCCUAAUACACCAAAAUAAAGGAAAACAUUGAUGUGAUACUGUGUCUACGAAGUGAAAAGACAGGGAAUUUAUGAAAUACGAAGAACAAUUUGCAGUCCAAAAUGCAGAGCUAAAUUUCUGCUCUGCUAUUUACCUGCGGCCACGAGCAGGCCACAGAGCCUGCUAAAGCUCAGUUGUCUGUUGCAUAAUAUAGGAAUGAAAAUAUCUGGCCUGUGCAUUUCACAGGGAUGUAAAAUUCAAAUGAGAGUGCAAACGGGAAAGCUCUUUUAAAUCGUAAUGCCCAGCACCAGAAAGUGUUGUUCUGACGUGUUGUGGGGGUAAAGUAGUUAAGUUCGUCAAACAAAACAAAUGAUCUGAUUCCCUUCAUAAUAACAUAUGUAAAUGUUGUUACCUUAAGUUAUGCGAACAGAGGGAAAGUCUGUGUGGAUUCAGGCAGCUGCAUGUAUUUUUACCAGGCAAUAUCCCUCCACUCAGGGUACCUUUGCUCAACCGAGCGUGUCCAGAUACAGUAGAAGUGUUUGGAGCAGGAGAUAGAACGAAAGAGAGGGAAAGAAGACAUUAUUCCUUCCCCCUCCUACUUCUAGCUCCAAACCUGAGUCAGAAAUGAAUUGUGUGUGUAUAUGUGUGUGUGUGUAUACAGCAUGUGUGUGUGUUGGAGGGUAGGAAGAGGAUAGAGGAGAGAGAAGUUUGUAAGCUUCAUACAACACAAUAUGACUGAAAAUGUUCAUGCCCAAAGAUGAGACUCUUCUUUAAUAUGUGAAAGGGAAGCCCUAGGAAAUCACUUUCUAGUAUUUUCUAGGGGCAAUCACAGGCAAUCCUUCUGACUGAAUGUGAAAGGCAACAAAAAGGAACAAUAAACAUUUUGUCCCUUGUGUUCCCAAAUUCAAGGUUUAUCAUUUCGUUGAUAUUUUAGCUAGUCAUAAAUUCUCAGUUCAAAAUUUUCCCUCAGAAUUUUGAAGGUAUUUCUCCAAAACCUUCUGUCACUCUGGGUUGUUGAUAAGAAUUUGGGAGCCAUUGAGAUGAUUGCCUUUUUUUUUUUUUCCUUUUGGGGAUCAUCUAGGAUCUUUGCUUUAUUCUUGAUGUGCUAAAAUUUCACAGGGAGGUGCCAGGCUGUUCUUAGUCACUGGGAUAGAAACUCUAUAAAAUCAAGGACUUGGUUUUUUUACUUCUGAUUUCAGGCACCUUGUGGCAACAUGUCUGGCCCAUAAUAGGAACUCCAUAAAUAUUCAUCAAAUAUAGUUUUGGGAUGAAUUUGUAUUGUGGGACACUUGAAGGAGACAUUUAAUCUGAAGAAUCCAUCUUUAUUUUCAUAAGCUCUCCUACCCUUUAUUUACCCUUCUACAAUCCCAAUAAUGAGGUAAAGUCUCCCAAUUUGUAUAGAUCCUAUGGUAAUCUCCACAAUCCAAAUGGUUGAAACAGUAUCUCUGUGCCUCAUUGUUUUUAUUUUUUCUACUCAGGGUCAUCCAGUGGCUUCAUUUAUUCAAAUAAGCAUCCUUUAAAGCAAUUAUUCAUUCUGAGUAACUGAAUGGAGCUCAGUGUAGCAAAGCAGUCUACAAUCUGCUUCGUGAUUACCUAUGACAUUUCUUGGGCAAAAUAAACUACAUUUCUUUUUUCAUGAAAGUGGCUACAUCAGCAAAGACCCAGAGCAGUCAACUCACUGAUGACAGUCACGUGAUUUCCUGAAUUUCACAAAUAAGUUGUCAGUUAAAAACAAAACAAAACAAAACAAAAAAUGUCUAUGGGGACCUUACAAUUUCUAAGCUUUUAUUCUUCCAGGAAAUGAUAUUUAGAAUGCAACUACCAUCUGAUAUUGCCAUUAUUUCAUUAAAAAUAUUAAAUUUCAAUCCCUAAAACUUAGGAUGUAUCUACAAAGGGAAAAAUUACAGCAUUAAAUGCAUUUUUAUUUUUUAUAUAUUCUUCUUUAUACAUUUAUUCAUUAAUGGAGUAAUUGACUGAUUCAUUGUUUCAUUUCAUUUCAUAAAAUCUUUUUUGUGUGUGUGAAUAAGGAUUGGUCUGUGGUAUCCCUGACACUAAAAUAAACACACACACACACACACACACACACAAUUGUUCUAGGGAUCUGACUUCUAUCUAGAUUCAGUUCAGAAUUUUGCAUCUUUCCCUGUUCUUAAUUUAUUGUCUUUUGCUAUCAUUUGACAUAAAGAGAAAUAAAAUAUUUGCACUUCUUCAGAAAAUUAUUUCCAUGAUGACUGUAUUAAGUACCAGCAGUAAUCCAAGACAUGGAAUUAGAGAUGACAUUUUUUCUACUUUUAUUUUGAAAGACUCCCUAUUUUUUGCCUGAAGAAGAGAAAUAGGCAAAGAAAUAUGGAUAAUUAUGAAAGUAGUGAAGCCACAUCUGAUUCCUUUGAGAUAUUUUUCAAGAACAUUUAAUCCUUUUAAGCAAUGUUACUCUUGUCUUAUUGCCAAUGUCAGUGAUAGCUUGGAUAAUCCUCUAGCUAUGAACUAACUGUUUAAAUGUGACCUGGCAAGUAACAUACUCAUUCUGUACUCUAACUUAAUAUUGCAACGUUUGUC